This 36-nucleotide transfer RNA is filed under the name Poikilospermum lanceolatum. Its description in RNAcentral is "partial tRNA-Phe". Lineage: Eukaryota; Viridiplantae; Streptophyta; Magnoliopsida; Rosales; Urticaceae. The record is from RNAcentral.
CGGGAUAGCUCAGCUGGAGAGGGCGGAGGAAACCAA